Molecule: long non-coding RNA, 369 nt
Filed under: Macaca mulatta (Rhesus monkey)
Lineage: Eukaryota; Metazoa; Chordata; Mammalia; Primates; Cercopithecidae
Description: lncRNA (ENSMMUG00000052076.1)
Source: RNAcentral
GUGAUCAGCGUGCUCAUGGAUGGCUUCUGACUCUCCAGGUUUCCUUGCAAGGGUACUCAAACGUGUGUAUGUGCAGCAAACCAUUGGAAAGCCAGAUAAUAGAUGACUGCCUGAAGAGCAUAACAAAAGAAAGGCGUAUUAUGUGAAGUAUUCAAAUCUCUCUCACAACAUCAGACUUACAUAUCCUAAUGUUAUCGCCUUCGGUAUAGGGAUCUAGAUGUCAGGAAGAUGGUUGAGUUUCCCCGGAUGACAUUUUCAGUUCUUAACAACAUGGGAAGUUUGAUGAGCUAUGUUGCUACCAUUUGCCAUUACUUCCAAAGACCUCAUGUGUCAGAGGAUGAUGAAAACAAGGUCAAUAUCACCCUGUAA